UCCAUGGAGCUUUGGCUGUCCCUUUGUUGUGUUAGAGCAAACGUGAACUGUGAACUGUUCUCUGAAGGAAAAAUCUGGCCCUGGCCCAUGGGUCCACCUUAGUUUGUGUCUUUACAGAGAUAGGUCUAUGCAGAUACCCGGCCUGGUUCUUCACCUGUGGAUGCCAAGCUCCUAGGCAUGCACCUGCAUCUAAUCAGAAACAGAGUUUCGACACACGUUAGGUCCCCUGCCACACAAUUUAUCCUUGACUUCUCUGCUGCCUGAUUGAAGAAGAGAACAUCUCUGGAAGGAUAUAUUCUGUCAUUUCUUUCAGCUAUUUUAAACUUAAUCCCUGGAUCAAGGCAGAUAAUUAAAGAACUUCGUGUUUGAACUGUAUCAUUUUGUUCCCUCAGAGAACUGCGUUCUUGAGGACUUCACUUUGCUGUGAGGCCCUAACUUAAGUCCCCUUGGGUGAUCCUGUGAGAAACAACUAUUGGGAACUGAGUUGCUUUACAUAUUAUUCAUGACAUCAGUAUCCUUUCCGAAGAUGCACCAGAGAAACUUCUUUCAGGUCUCCAGUAUCCUGAGCCCCUGGGCACAGCAUUUCCAGAUGUGCAACACCACCAACACCGAGCCCAGCACAUGAUGAGGAAACUGGGUAACUUGACCACAGUUACUCCACAAGGCAGUGAUCCACAAGGAUUUGUCCCCUGGCAUGUGGGGCUAGCAUGACAAUUCCACCGAGGAGGGGAGGCCAAGCCUGACUCCAGUCAAUGUUAAAUUAGGUGUGUACUUGAUAAAUACUAUAAUUUCACUUGAUGUAACUAUAAUAAUGACAAUGAU
Molecule: long non-coding RNA, 822 nt
Organism: Felis catus (domestic cat)
Lineage: Eukaryota; Metazoa; Chordata; Mammalia; Carnivora; Felidae
Exons: 3
Source: RefSeq, a predicted model, not a curated record